This 468-nucleotide ribosomal RNA is filed under the name uncultured bacterium. Its description in RNAcentral is "partial 16S ribosomal RNA". It matches the Rfam family "Bacterial small subunit ribosomal RNA", at positions 29 to 507 of the family's 1533-position model. The record is from RNAcentral.
ACGAACGCUGGCGGCGUGCUUAACACCUGCAAGUCGAACGGAAAGGCCCUGCUUGCAGGGUGCUCGAGUGGCGAACGGGUGAGUAACACGUGGGUGAUCUGCCCCUUACUUUGGGAUAAGCCUGGGAAACUGGGUCUAAUACUGGAUAGGACCAUGCUGUCGGUGGUGUGGUGGAAAGAUUAGUUUCGGUAAGGGAUGAGCUCGCGGCCUAUCAGCUUGUUGGUGGGGUAAUGGCCUACCAAGGCGUCGACGGGUAGCCGGCCUGAGAGGGUGGACGGCCACAUUGGGACUGAGAUACGGCCCAGACUCCUACGGGAGGCAGCAGUGGGGAAUAUUGCACAAUGGGCGCAAGCCUGAUGCAGCGACGCCGCGUGGGGGAUGACGGCCUUCGGGUUGUAAACUCCUUUCAGCCAUGACGAAGCCCUUGUGGUGACGGUAGUGGUAGAAGAAGCACCGGCUAACUACGUG